GACGAACGCUGGCGGCGUGCCUAAUACAUGCAAGUAGAACGCUGAAGGAGGAGCUUGCUUCUCUGGAUGAGUUGCGAACGGGUGAGUAACGCGUAGGUAACCUGCCUGGUAGCGGGGGAUAACUAUUGGAAACGAUAGCUAAUACCGCAUAAGAGUAGAUGUUGCAUGACAUUUGCUUAAAAGGUGCAAUUGCAUCACUACCAGAUGGACCUGCGUUGUAUUAGCUAGUUGGUGGGGUAACGGCUCACCAAGGCGACGAUACAUAGCCGACCUGAGAGGGUGAUCGGCCACACUGGGACUGAGACACGGCCCAGACUCCUAAGGGAGGCAGCAGUAGGGAAUCUUCGGCAAUGGACGGAAGUCUGACCGAGCAACGCCGCGUGAGUGAAGAAGGUUUUCGGAUCGUAAAGCUCUGUUGUAAGAGAAGAACGAGUGUGAGAGUGGAAAGUUCACACUGUGACGGUAUCUUACCAGAAAGGGACGGCUAACUACGUG
RNAcentral lists this ribosomal RNA (495 nucleotides) under uncultured bacterium. Its description in RNAcentral is "partial 16S ribosomal RNA". It matches the Rfam family "Bacterial small subunit ribosomal RNA", at positions 28 to 507 of the family's 1533-position model. The record is from RNAcentral.